This 497-nucleotide ribosomal RNA is filed under the name uncultured bacterium. Its description in RNAcentral is "partial 16S ribosomal RNA". It matches the Rfam family "Bacterial small subunit ribosomal RNA", at positions 28 to 507 of the family's 1533-position model. The record is from RNAcentral.
GAUGAACGCUGGCGGCGUGCCUAAUACAUGCAAGUCGAGCGAACAGACGAGGAGCUUGCUCCUUCGACGUUAGCGGCGGACGGGUGAGUAACACGUAGGUAACCUACCUAUAAGACUGGGAUAACUUCGGGAAACCGGAGCUAAUACCGGAUAAUAUUUCGAACCGCAUGGUUCGAUAGUGAAAGAUGGCUUUGCUAUCACUUAUAGAUGGACCUGCGCCGUAUUAGCUAGUUGGUAAGGUAACGGCUUACCAAGGCAACGAUACGUAGCCGACCUGAGAGGGUGAUCGGCCACACUGGAACUGAGACACGGUCCAGACUCCUACGGGAGGCAGCAGUAGGGAAUCUUCCGCAAUGGGCGAAAGCCUGACGGAGCAACGCCGCGUGAGUGAUGAAGGUCUUCGGAUCGUAAAACUCUGUUAUUAGGGAAGAACAAACGUGUAAGGAACUGUGCACGUCUUGACGGUACCUAAUCAGAAAGCCACGGCUAACUACGUG